This 409-nucleotide ribosomal RNA is filed under the name uncultured bacterium. RNAcentral describes it as "bacterial SSU rRNA". It matches the Rfam family "Bacterial small subunit ribosomal RNA", at positions 505 to 916 of the family's 1533-position model. The record is from RNAcentral.
GUGCCAGCCGCCGCGGUAAUACGGAGGGUGCAAGCGUUAUCCGGAUUUAUUGGGUUUAAAGGGUCCGUAGGCGGACUUAUAAGUCAGUGGUGAAAGCCUGUCGCUUAACGAUAGAACUGCCAUUGAUACUGUAAGUCUUGAGUAUAUUUGAGGUAGCUGGAAUAAGUAGUGUAGCGGUGAAAUGCAUAGAUAUUACUUAGAACACCAAUUGCGAAGGCAGGUUACCAAGAUAUAACUGACGCUGAGGGACGAAAGCGUGGGGAGCGAACAGGAUUAGAUACCCUGGUAGUCCACGCCGUAAACGAUGCUAACUCGUUUUUGGAGCGCAAGCUUCAGAGACCAAGCGAAAGUGAUAAGUUAGCCACCUGGGGAGUACGCUCGCAAGAGUGAAACUCAAAGAAAUUGACGG